RNAcentral lists this ribosomal RNA (253 nucleotides) under uncultured bacterium. RNAcentral's name for it is "partial 16S ribosomal RNA". It matches the Rfam family "Bacterial small subunit ribosomal RNA", at positions 524 to 776 of the family's 1533-position model. The record is from RNAcentral.
UACAGAGGGUGCGAGCGUUGUUCGGAAUCAUUGGGCGUAAAGCGCUUGUAGGCGGCUUGUUAAGUCGCGUGUGAAAUCCCUUGGCUCAACCAAGGAAGUGCGCGCGAAACUGGCGAGCUCGAGUGCCGGAGAGGGUCGCGGAAUUCCCGGUGUAGAGGUGAAAUGCGUAGAUAUCUGGAGGAACACCGGUGGCGAAGGCGGCGUCCUGGACCAACACUGACACUGAUGAGCGAAAGCCAGGGGAGCAAACGGG